CCUUUGCUUCGAUCAACGGUUAUAGAACAAGUGCAUGUGGCAUGUAAGGAACUAGGUGCUUUUCAGGUACAUUACUUAUUAACAAACUAUACAUAUAGUUGCAUAAAAUCAGUUCAACUAUAAAACGAAGUUUUCCAAGAAAGUAAUUACUAGGCAGAGUAUUCUUUGUAUUGAAUAUAUUUAUUUCUUCACUUUUUUUUUUUUUUCCUUUUUUUUACUACGUGCAUGAGCAGACAUGUCGUCAACUUUUUUCUACGUCAUGCAUGCAUUUUUAACGUUACGAAAAUACGUACCACCUUAUGCAGGUGAUCAACCAUGGAAUUCCGAUCCCGAUUGUCGAUCAGGCACUAGAAGUUGCUGCGGAGUUUUUCGAUAUGCCGAACGAAAAAAAGAUGCGUAUUGCCUCUACUGAUGCUCGUGAGCCUGUAAGAUACGGGACCAGUCUGAAUUACAUCAAUGAUAAAGUUAAAUAUUGGAGAGACUUUAUCAAACACUACUCUAAUCCAAUCUCAAGAUGGAUCGAUUUGUGGCCGUCGGAUCCUCCAAGUUACAAGUAAUCAACUCACAAAGCUUCUCUUUUUUUUUUUAAAGUAAAACGGAGAAUAUUUAUUCUCGAAAUCUAAUGUAUUAUUUUUUGCAGGGAGAAAAUGGGGAACUACGCAAAGGCUGUGCAUAUCUUGCAUAAAGAGCUAAUGGAAGUAUUAUUCGAGAGCUUAGGUCUAAAACCAGACUACUUACAGAACGACAUCGAAGAAGGCUCACAGGUCAUGGCAGUAAACUUUUAUCCUGCUUGCCCAGAGCCGAAUCUAACACUAGGCCUUCCCCCACACUCGGAUUAUGGACUGUUAACCAUUUUACUCCAAAAUCAACGGGGCUUAGAAACUAUGGACAACGACGGAAAAUGGCAAUCCGUUCCUGUAAUAAAAGAAGGGUUGGUGGUUCAGUUGGGCGAUCAUAUGGAAGUACUGAGUAAUGGCCGAUACAAAAGUGUCGUACAUCGAGCAUGCCUUAACUCGGAAAAGAGGCGUCUUUCGAUUGCAAGUCUUCACAGUUUGGAAAUAGAGAAGAAAGUAAUACCUGCUCAAGAACUUGUCGAUGAGCAACAUCCGUUGGCCUAUGAAGGAGUGAGCUUCGGAGACUUUCUGCACUUCCUUUCCAAAAACGACAUC
RNAcentral lists this long non-coding RNA (1169 nucleotides) under Erythranthe guttata (spotted monkey flower). RNAcentral's name for it is "long non-coding RNA (EGUT_LNC000782)". The record is from RNAcentral. Lineage: Eukaryota; Viridiplantae; Streptophyta; Magnoliopsida; Lamiales; Phrymaceae.